CGGCGAGUGAAGCGGUAAAAGCUCAAAUUUGAAAUCUGGUACUUUCAGUGCCCGAGUUGUAAUUUGUAGAAUUUGUCUUUGAUUAGGUCCUUGUCUAUGUUCCUUGGAACAGGACGUCAUAGAGGGUGAGAAUCCCGUUUGGCGAGGAUACCUUUUCUCUGUAAGACUUUUUCGAAGAGUCGAGUUGUUUGGGAAUGCAGCUCAAAGUGGGUGGUAAAUUCCAUCUAAAGCUAAAUAUUGGCGAGAGACCGAUAGCGAACAAGUACAGUGAUGGAAAGAUGAAAAGAACUUUGAAAAGAGAGUGAAAAAGUACGUGAAAUUGUUGAAAGGGAAGGGCAUUUGAUCAGACAUGGUGUUUUUUGCAUGCACUCGCCUCUCGUGGGCUUGGGCCUCUCAAAAAUUUCACUGGGCCAACAUCAAUUCUGGCAGCAGGAUAAAUCAUUAAGAAUGUAGCUACUUCGGUAGUGUUAUAGCUUUUUGGAAUACUGUUAGCCGGGAUUGAGGACUGCGCUUCGGCAAGGAUGUUGGCAUAAUGGUUAAAUGCCG
Molecule: ribosomal RNA, 546 nt
Filed under: Hanseniaspora uvarum
Lineage: Eukaryota; Fungi; Ascomycota; Saccharomycetes; Saccharomycodales; Saccharomycodaceae
Description: eukaryotic LSU rRNA
Rfam family: Eukaryotic large subunit ribosomal RNA
Source: RNAcentral